Molecule: long non-coding RNA, 2133 nt
Filed under: Capsicum annuum
Lineage: Eukaryota; Viridiplantae; Streptophyta; Magnoliopsida; Solanales; Solanaceae
Description: long non-coding RNA (CANN_LNC018220)
Source: RNAcentral
UUGACCAUUAAGCUACCACAACUAAUUGUUCAAAAAUGUUAAAAGUAAACUUCAUAUUAGAAAGUAAAUUUAUCAGCUUAAAAUUCUUUUUUCUUCUUCUAUAUAUUUAUUUUUCAGUAUUGUCCAUGUCGUUGGCGACCAAUUGAAUAUGAUAAUAUCCCUUAAUAGACACCGAAAGUUUUUCUAUUGUCUUAAUAUGAUACUGGUGCUCCAAAAUAUUAUCAAAAACAAUAAGCGUAAAAAAGCUUCAAGGUCUAUUGUGUUUAAGCACAAAGUACAAAUAAAGCGUGAGAUUUAACGAAAAAAAGGAAUAAAAAUAGAAAAAAUAUAAAUAUAUGCCUAAUACAAGUCUAAUAAUAUAAGUAUGAAUGACAAAUAUAGGAACAAAAAAAAAAUCUAUAAAAUGAAAUAUCAAUUGUUUAGUGUUCGUCUCUUCAUAAAGCUUCAUUGACAAGGGAAAGUAUGUAUCAGAAAUUAAAACCUAAGCUGCACAUUAAGUGAGGAGAGCACUUAACACAUUUUGAGUCUUACUUUGAGGCUUAUGCGCGUCUUUAACAACAUUGGUGCACCCACAGAUUUCAAAUUCUAGGUUCGCCUCUGCUCGUGACCUUCUGGUCAUAUGCACGAAACUAUCUUGAAUGAAAAUUUAUCUAUAAUAGUGGUGAUGAAAGUACCACAUUUUUUCGCGUGCAGUCCUAUAUUGUUCGGGCUCUUCAAAAAUGUCAUUGGAUACGUAUCAGAUCCUUUAAAAGUAGUUCAUUUUUAAAGAAUCCGAUCGAUACAGGUACAACCACAUUUUUGAAAAGUCUGAGCAACUUAGGCAUACACCAUUAUUGACCUUAACGAUGAAGGUCCGAGGUUGAGGUUGACUAAAGCAACAUCAACCCCGUAUCUUCAUCGUCUUAAUAGCUCCAACUUUCUUGCUCAAAUGAGUGUUCCAUAUCUGUUUACGAGGUUGUAAUUGUAUCCUGAAAAAAAAAAAAAAAAGGAGAAAUUUAAACUCUACAUUUUUUAAAGUAAUAAACGUACUAAUUAACAUGAUGAAAACAUAUUCCUAACUAAUUGGUGUCACCUACGUACAUAUUGCAUGAAUUUCAAGAUUUACAAAAUAAUAAAACUAUAUUAUAUAAGCUUAGCAGUCGUUUGGUUGAGAAAGAAUUAUCCCAGAUAAUUAAUUCUGGGAUUAGUUAUUACACCAUAUAUAUGGGAUUACUUAUCUCAUCAUUAUGGUAUAAAUGGUGGGAUAAAUAAUCCCGGGACUAAGUUGUACCUCCAACCAAACGCGGAAUAAAAUAAUCCUGCAUUUUAUUCUAUGACUAUUAUACCUCACGCCUCACACCAAAUGACUCCUAACUGUUUAGAGGGUUUGUCUAGAUAACAUUAGCCCUGACUGACAAGAUAAAUUAAAAAAAAAAAUAAGAUGAAAAUAAAUAACAAUAAAAAUAACAACAAUACUACAAGAAGAAGCUUGAAAAUUAGAGGCGGAUUCAAAAUAUUUAGUUUAUGAAUUCUUGACAUAAAAAACAUUUUUGCUGUUAUGGAUAUUAUAGGUGUACUGUACAUAGUAAAUAAAAUUUUCAAUCUAAAUAUAUCUUUUGAACUAUUAAUUCUGUCGAACUCGUAACGUAACUAUAAUAGUAUAUUAUAGUGGUAAGAAAGUUAAGUUACAAAUCUGAACUUUCAAGGCAAUUAUAAGGGUCAAUUUUACGUAUACUCACAAACAUUUUGCUCAUCAUAUACUAAAAUAAUAAUAAAACUAUUUAUUUUUCAUAUCAAACGAAAUGAAUUUUGCUCAUAAUAACAGUAAAUUAAGUCACAAAAUUAUUUUUAAAAACAGUACCAUUAAACUUCGAAUGGGCUUUGUCCUUCUUUUUCUUCUUGCUCCAUAUGAUUUAUUGGCAUUCAAGAAAAGAAACAUAAUAUGACCAUAUGAAAUAUAUCUCUUACUACAAAAAGAACUGAAAUUAGCUACGAAUUUUAUCACUAAAUUGUAGCUCGUAGCUAACAAUUUGUUUUGAUAAGCGAUCGAUAAUUCGCCACAAAUUAGAAUUAGUAACAAAUUUUGUUGUUUAGCUACAGAAUUGUACGUCGCUAAUUUUUUUUUUUAAAAGUAAUGUCUAAGCUAAGAGUACU